UACGUAGGGGGCAAGCGUUGUCCGGAUUUAUUGGGCGUAAAGAGCGUGUAGGCGGCUAGAUAGGUCCGUUGUGAAAACUCGAGGCUCAACCUCGAGACGCCGAUGGAAACCAUCCAGCUAGAGUCCGGAAGAGGAGAGUGGAAUUCCCGGUGUAGCGGUGAAAUGCGCAGAUAUCGGGAGGAACACCGAUGGCGAAGGCAGCUCGCUGGGACGGUACUGACGCUGAGGCGCGAAAGCGUGGGGAGCGAACAGG
This 253-nucleotide ribosomal RNA is filed under the name uncultured bacterium. RNAcentral describes it as "partial 16S ribosomal RNA". It matches the Rfam family "Bacterial small subunit ribosomal RNA", at positions 524 to 776 of the family's 1533-position model. The record is from RNAcentral.